UACAGAGGGUGCAAGCGUUGUUCGGAAUUAUUGGGCGUAAAGGGAGUGUAGGCGGUUCGUUAAGUCUUCUGUGAAAUCUACGGGCUUAGCCUGUAACGUGCAGAGGAAACUAGCGGGCUUGAGUGUCGGAGAGGAUAGGGGAAUACCCAGUGUAGUGGUGAAAUACGUAGAGAUUGGGAAGAACACCAGUGGCGAAGGCGGCUAUCUGGACGGUUUCUGACACUAAGACUCGAAAGCGUGGGGAGCAAACAGG
RNAcentral lists this ribosomal RNA (253 nucleotides) under uncultured bacterium. Its description in RNAcentral is "partial 16S ribosomal RNA". It matches the Rfam family "Bacterial small subunit ribosomal RNA", at positions 524 to 776 of the family's 1533-position model. The record is from RNAcentral.